Molecule: non-coding RNA, 21 nt
Organism: Caenorhabditis elegans
Lineage: Eukaryota; Metazoa; Nematoda; Chromadorea; Rhabditida; Rhabditidae
Source: Ensembl
UGUUUCAACUCUACGGUGCCU